CCAUACUAAUAGGCAGCCUGUUGGAUUUAACAAGGCCACAGUGCCUACUCCUCCUUCUCCUUUCAGACAGAGAGUCAAUUUUGAUCAAGCCAGAGGACCUUUAUUCUGUAGAUACUGUAAAAAAUCUAGACACUUAAUUGAUAAGUGUUUCAAGAUCUAUGGGUAUCCACAAAGUACAAAUUUUAACAAGGGGAGCAGACCUGCUGCUACUCAU
Molecule: long non-coding RNA, 214 nt
Filed under: Nicotiana benthamiana
Lineage: Eukaryota; Viridiplantae; Streptophyta; Magnoliopsida; Solanales; Solanaceae
Description: long non-coding RNA (NBEN_LNC033381)
Source: RNAcentral